CCUACGGGAGGCUGCAGUGGGGAAUAUUGGGCAAUGGGCGCAAGCCUGACCCAGCAACGCCGCGUGAAGGAAGAAGGCUUUCGGGUUGUAAACUUCUUUUGACAGGGAAGAGUAGAAGACGGUACCUGUCGAAUAAGCCACGGCUAACUACGUGCCAGCAGCCGCGGUAAUACGUAGGUGGCAAGCGUUGUACGGAUUUACUGGGUGUAAAGGGCGUGUAGCCGGGUUGACAAGUCAGAUGUGAAAUCCUGCGGCUUAACCGCAGAACUGCAUUUGAAACUGUUGAUCUUGAGUACUGGAGAGGCAGGCGGAAUUCCUGGUGUAGCGGUGAAAUGCGUAGAUAUUAGGAGGAACCCCGAUUGCGAAGGCAGCUUACUAAACUGUGACUGACAUUGAUGCUCGAAAGUGUGGGUAUCAAACAGGAUUAGAUACCCGUGUAGUC
This 442-nucleotide ribosomal RNA is filed under the name uncultured bacterium. RNAcentral describes it as "partial 16S ribosomal RNA". It matches the Rfam family "Bacterial small subunit ribosomal RNA", at positions 338 to 795 of the family's 1533-position model. The record is from RNAcentral.